CCAAUAGCGUAUAUUAAAGUUGUUGCAGUUAAAAAGCUCGUAGUUGAAUUUCGGGAUCGAAUUGUUGGUCGUGCUUCGGUACGCACUGGCAUUAUUGGUUCCUACCUUCUGAAGAACCGCGAUGUCAUUAAUUUGGUGUCGUGGGGAAUCAGGACUGUUACUUUGAAAAAAUUAGAGUGUUUAAAGCAGGCUUACGCUUGAAUACAUUAGCAUGGAAUAAUGAAAUAGGACGUUUGAUUCUAUUUUGUUGGUUUCUAGGAUCGACGUAAUGAUUAAUAGGGAUAGUUGGGGGCAUUAGUAUUCAAUUGUCAGAGGUGAAAUUCUCGGAUUUAUUGAAGACUAACUCCUGCGAAAGCAUUUGCCAAGGAUGUUUUCAUUAAUCAAGAACGAAAGUCAGGGGAUCGAAGACGAUUAGAUACCGUCGUAGUCCUGACCGUAAACGGUGCUAACUAGCGAUCUGCCGGUGACCCAUUCAAAGUGGUCCCGGUAGGGAGCUUGCG
RNAcentral lists this unclassified non-coding RNA (500 nucleotides) under uncultured Glomus. RNAcentral's name for it is "bacterial SSU rRNA". It matches the Rfam family "Eukaryotic small subunit ribosomal RNA", at positions 591 to 1092 of the family's 1831-position model. Lineage: Eukaryota; Fungi; Glomeromycota; Glomeromycetes; Glomerales; Glomeraceae. The record is from RNAcentral.